GAUCAAGCGCGAGAAGGGCGUUUGGUGGAUGCCUUGGCAGCAAGAGGCGAUGAAGGACGUGAUACCCUGCGAUAAGCCAUGGGGAGCCGGGAAUGGGCUUUGAUCCAUGGAUUUCCGAAUGGGGAAACCCACCUGACAGUUGAUUAUGGUUGCUCUUCGGGGCGAUCCAUAAUCGGCUGAGACAGGGACUUGGAACCUGAACACAUAGGGUUUCAAGGGCGAACCCGGGGAACUGAAACAUCUCAGUACCCGGAGGAAAGGACAUCAACAGAGACUCCGUCAGUAGUGGCGAGCGAACGCGGACCAGCCGAGCCGUGAGAACGACCAGAAUGGCCUGGAAAGGCCAGCCGGAGCGGGUGACAGCCCCGUAUGGGAAGUUCGAUCGGACGCAUCAAGUAGGGCGGGACACGUGGAAUCCUGUCCGAAGAUCGGGGGACCACCCUCGAAGGCUAAGUACUCCUUGCUGACCGAUAGCGAACCAGUACCGUGAGGGAAAGGUGAAAAGCACCCCGACGAGGGGAGUGAAACAGUACCUGAAACCGGACGCCUACAAUCAGUCGGAGCCUCCAUGAGAGGUGACGGCGUACCUUUUGUAUAAUGGGUCACCGACUUGGUCUCACGAGCGAGCUUAAGCCGAUAGGCGGAGGCGGAGCGAAAGCGAGUCUGAACAGGGCGUUCAGUUCGUGGGAUCAGACCCGAAACCGAGUGAUCUAGCCAUGGCCAGGCUGAAGGCUGGGUAGCACCAGCUGGAGGGCCGAACCCACACCUGUUGAAAAAGGUCGGGAUGAGCUGUGGCUAGGGGUGAAAGGCCAAUCAAACUCGGAAAUAGCUGGUUCUCCGCGAAAUCUAUUUAGGUAGAGCGUCGGGUGAAUGCCUUCGGGGGUAGAGCACUGGAUGGGUGAUGGGGGCCCACAGCCUUACUGAGCCUAACCAAACUCCGAAUACCGAAGAGCACUGCCCGGCAGACAGACGGCGGGUGCUAACGUCCGUCGUCGAGAGGGAAACAACCCUGACCUCCAGCUAAGGCCCCCAAUUCACGGCUAAGUGGGAAAGCAGGUGGGACGACCAAAACAACCAGGAGGUUGGCUUAGAAGCAGCCAUCCUUUAAAGAUAGCGUAACAGCUCACUGGUCUAGACAAGUUGUCCUGCGGCGAAGAUGUAACGGGGCUCAAGCCGUGAGCCGAAGCUGAGGAUGCACCAUUGGGUGCAUGGUAGCGGAGCGUGGCGUGACAUGGGUCCGCGUCUGUGAUGCCGUCGAGGCGGAUAUGCGGGAUGGGGCAGCCCAUCGCGCCGACAUCGCCACAGGCGGCAGCGCAGACGGAGGACUCUUCGAUGAAGCCGGGGCGUGAGCCAUCCGGUGGAGAGAUCGCCAGCGAGAAUGGUGACAUGAGUAGCGACAAAGGGGGUGAGAGACCCCCUCGCCGAAAGUCCAAGGGUUCCUGCUUAAAGCUAAUCUGAGCAGGGUGAGCCGGCCCCUAAGGCGAGGCCGAGAGGCGUAGUCGAUGGGAACCAGGUGAAUAGUCCUGGGCCAGUGGGAUGUGACGGAUCGCAGAUGUUGUCCGGUCUUAUCGGAUUGACCGGGCAGCUGAGCGGUCCCUGGAAAUAGCCCCACAUCAGACCGUACCCGAAACCGACACAGGUGGACUGGUAGAGCAUACCAAGGCGCUUGAGAGAACGACGUCGAAGGAACUCGGCAAAAUGCCUCCGUAAGUUCGCGAGAAGGAGGCCCCGUUCCCGGGCAACCGGGGGCGGGGGGCACAAAAGAGGGGGUGGCGACUGUUUACUAAAAACACAGGGCUGUGCGAAGCCGCAAGGCGCCGUAUACAGUCUGACGCCUGCCCGGUGCCGGAAGGUUAAAGGGAGGGGUGCAAGCCCCGAACUGAAGCCCCGGUAAACGGCGGCCGUAACUAUAACGGUCCUAAGGUAGCGAAAUUCCUUGUCGGGUAAGUUCCGACCUGCACGAAUGGCGUAACGACUUCCCCGCUGUCUCCGACGUCGACUCAGCGAAAUUGAACUGCCCGUGAAGAUGCGGGCUCCCCGCGGUUAGACGGAAAGACCCCAUGAACCUUUACUCUAGCUUCGCACUGGCACCAGGAUUGCGAUGUGCAGGAUAGGUGGUAGGCCUUGAAGCGGAGGCGCCAGCCUCCGUGGAGCCGCCCUUGAGAUACCACCCUUCGUGCUCUUGGUGUCUAACCGCGGCCCGUCAUCCGGGUCCGGGACCCUGCGUGGUGGGGAGUUUGACUGGGGCGGUCGCCUCCCAAACAGUAACGGAGGCGCGCGAUGGUGGGCUCAGGGCGGUCGGAAAUCGCCCGUUGAGUGCAAUGGCAGAAGCCCGCCUGACUGCGAGACCGACAGGUCGAGCAGAGUCGAAAGACGGCCAUAGUGAUCCGGUGGUCCCGCGUGGAAGGGCCAUCGCUCAACGAAUAAAAGGUACUCUGGGGAUAACAGGCUGAUACUGCCCAAGAGUCCAUAUCGACGGCAGUGUUUGGCACCUCGAUGUCGGCUCAUCUCAUCCUGGGGCUGGAGCAGGUCCCAAGGGUAUGGCUGUUCGCCAUUUAAAGAGGUACGUGAGCUGGGUUUAGAACGUCGUGAGACAGUUCGGUCCCUAUCUUCCGUGGGUGCAGGAGACUUGAGAGGACUUGCCCCUAGUACGAGAGGACCGGGGUGAACGUUCCACUGGUGGACCGGUUGUCGCGCCAGCGGCAGUGCCGGGUAGCCAUGAACGGACAGGAUAACCGCUGAAAGCAUCUAAGCGGGAAGCCCCCCUCAAAACCAGGUCUCCCCAUAAGGACCGUGGUAGACCACCACGUCGAUAGGCCGGACGUGCAAGCGCGGUAACGCGCUCAGCGAACCGGUACUAAUCGUCCAACAGGCUUGACCCG
Rubellimicrobium thermophilum DSM 16684 is the source of this 2882-nucleotide ribosomal RNA. It matches the Rfam family "Bacterial large subunit ribosomal RNA". NCBI's taxonomy places the organism in Bacteria, Pseudomonadati, Pseudomonadota, Alphaproteobacteria, Rhodobacterales, Roseobacteraceae. The record is from Rfam.